AUUGAACGCUGGCGGCAUGCUUUACACAUGCAAGUCGAACGGCAGCACGGGAGCGAUCCUGGUGGCGAGUGGCGAACGGGUGAGUAAUGUAUCGGAACAUGCCCAGUAGUGGGGGAUAACGCAGCGAAAGUUGUGCUAAUACCGCAUACGAUCUAUGGGGAAAGCGGGGGAUCGCAAGACCUCGCGCGAUUAGAGCGGCUGAUGCCUGAUUAGCUUGUUGGUGGGGUAAAAGCCCACCAAGGCGACGAUCAGUAGCUGGUCUGAGAGGACGAGCAGCCACACUGGGACUGAGACACGGCCCAGACUCCUACGGGAGGCAGCAGUGGGGAAUUUUGGACAAUGGGGGCAACCCUGAUCCAGCAAUGCCGCGUGAGUGAAGAAGGCCUUCGGGUUGUAAAGCUCUUUUGUCAGGGAAGAAACACCGGCUCUAACACAGUCCGGGAAUGACGGUACCUGAAGAAUAAGCACCGGCUAACUACGUGCCAGCCGCCGCCGUAA
RNAcentral lists this ribosomal RNA (498 nucleotides) under uncultured bacterium. RNAcentral's name for it is "partial 16S ribosomal RNA". It matches the Rfam family "Bacterial small subunit ribosomal RNA", at positions 29 to 523 of the family's 1533-position model. The record is from RNAcentral.